RNAcentral lists this ribosomal RNA (396 nucleotides) under Chalcoscirtus sinevi. Its description in RNAcentral is "partial 16S ribosomal RNA". Lineage: Eukaryota; Metazoa; Arthropoda; Arachnida; Araneae; Salticidae. The record is from RNAcentral.
UUCUAUUAAAUAAAUUAAUAGUAAGAUCUGCUCAAUGAUAUAUUUCAAUAGCCGCAACUCGUGCUAAGGUAGCAUAAUCACUUGUCUUUUAAAUAAGGACUAGAACAAAAGAUCCAACAUUCUAAUAAAUCUAUUUAAAUUAAAAAUUAAAUUUUUAAUAAUAGUAAAAAUACUAUUAUUACAUAGAAAGACGACAAGACCCUAUUGAACUUCACUUAAGUUUAACUGGGGCAGUGAAUUAAUUAUCAUUUUAAUAUUAGUUAUACCUAAAAUACCCUAUAUAAUAGAAUAAACCAGUUACCAUAGGGAUAACAGCGCAAUUAUUUUUAUAAGCUCUUAUAUCAAAAAUAGAUUACGACCUCGAUGUUGAAUUAAUAACCUAAAUAAGGCAAAUCU